GAGGUAACGGCCCACCAAGGCGACGAUGGGUAGCCGGCCUGAGAGGGUGAACGGCCACAUUGGAACUGAGAAACGGUCCAAACUCCUACGGGAGGCAGCAGUGGGGAAUAUUGCACAAUGGAGGGAACUCUGAUGCAGCGACGCCGCGUGAACGAAGAAGGCUUUCGAGUCGUAAAGUUCUUUUAUAUGGGAAGAUAAUGACGGUACCAUAAGAAAAAGCCCCGGCUAACUACGUGCCAGCAGCCGCGGUAAUACGUAGGGGGCUAGCGUUGUCCGGAAUCACUGGGCGUAAAGGGUUCGCAGGCGGAAAUGCAAGUCAGGUGUAAAAGGCAGUAGCUUAACUACUGUAAGCAUUUGAAACUGCAUAUCUUGAGAAGAGUAGAGGUAAGUGGAAUUUUUAGUUGUAGCGGUGAAAUGCGUAAAUAUUAAAAAGAAUACCGGGUGGGAAGGCGACUUACUGGGCUCAUUCUGACGCUGAGGAACGAAAGCGUGGGUAGCAAACAGGAUUAGAUACCCUGGUAGUCCACCUGUAAACGAUGAGUGCUAGGUAUCGGAAUAAUUCGUGCCGCAGUUAACACAUUAAGCACUCCGCCUGGGGAGUACGUGCGCAAGCAUGAAACUCAAAGGAAUUGACGGGGACCCGCACAAGCAGCGGAGCAUGUGGUUUAAUUCGAAGCAACGCGAAGAACCUUACCAGGGCUUGACAUACUGAGGACCGGUAUAGAGAUAUACCCUCUUCUUCGGAAGCCUCAAUACAGGUGGUGCAUGGUUGUCGUCAGCUCGUGUCGUGAGAUGUUCAGUUAAGUCUGGCAACGAGCGCAACCCCUAUCUUUAGUUACCAGCAUUUCGGAUGGGGACUCUAAAGAGACUGCCGAUGAUAAAUCGGAGGAAGGUGGGGAUGACGUCAAAUCAUCAUGCCCUAUAUGCCCUGGGCUACACACGUGCUACAAUGGAAGAUACAAAGGGAAGCGAAAUAGUGAUAUUAAGCAAACCUCAAAAAGUCUUUCCCAGUUCGGAUUGUACUCUGCAACUCGAGUACAUGAAGAUGGAGUUGCUAGUAAUCGCAGAUCAGAAUGCUGCGGUGAAUGCGUUCCCGGGUCUUGUACACACCGCCCGUCACACCAUGGAAGCUUGUAAUACCCGAAGCCUGCGAGCAAACC
RNAcentral lists this ribosomal RNA (1160 nucleotides) under Peptoniphilus sp. CCUG 44165. Its description in RNAcentral is "bacterial SSU rRNA". It matches the Rfam family "Bacterial small subunit ribosomal RNA", at positions 254 to 1440 of the family's 1533-position model. Lineage: Bacteria; Bacillati; Bacillota; Tissierellia; Tissierellales; Peptoniphilaceae. The record is from RNAcentral.